This is a long non-coding RNA of Cyprinus carpio (common carp), 626 nucleotides long. RefSeq lists it as uncharacterized. The transcript has 3 exons. NCBI's taxonomy places the organism in Eukaryota, Metazoa, Chordata, Actinopteri, Cypriniformes, Cyprinidae. The record is from RefSeq and is a predicted model, not a curated record.
ACAAAAGAAUCAGCAUUACGUCUGCAUGUGACAAGCAGAAUAAGAGAUGUGUUUGGAGCAGACAGAGCUCUGGGACGUGUGUACAGACAUUCACUGUGAUGAUGGACAUCUCCUCAUGGACAGAAACUCUUCCAUCAUCUUUAUCCUCAUGACCAUCCGAUGCUCCGGAUUCAGACUCAGAGCUUCAUCCUCCUCAUCAGUGACUGAGAAAGAGCCUCACCAAAAGUUUUUUAUGGAAAUUGAAAUCACAUGAUACAGACCAUAUAAAUUAAAUAUUUAUCUAUUGGUUAUAGGAUCUGCUUUUAACAUCUUUGGAAAUAAAAAAAAUACGUCUGAUUUUCUGCAAUAUAAAUGGGUAUUGUAGGCUAAAUGAAUAAUAAGAUUUAUGUUUUUUAAGAAGCACAGCUUAGUUCCAUCUUUCAAACACAUAUCAGAGACAUACUGUUUUUUACCUGCUCAAACUCACUGUAAGAUGCUUUUUGAGAUGGAGAUGAUCUCCUACAUCUGCUUAUUAUAAAUAUUAAUAAAAAGCCACUAUUAGACACCAUUGUAUAUAUUAUAUCAGUCAUUAUCUUACAGAUGAUAUAUGUCAACAGUCAUUUUAAUACAGGCUUUAAAAUAAUUUG